Molecule: long non-coding RNA, 1634 nt
Organism: Bos taurus (domestic cattle)
Lineage: Eukaryota; Metazoa; Chordata; Mammalia; Artiodactyla; Bovidae
Source: Ensembl
AAGUGAAAAGUGAAAGUGAAGUCGCUCAGUCAAGUCCGAGUCUUAGCGACCCCAUGGACUGGAGCCUACCAGGCUCCUCUGUCCAUGGGAUUUCCCAGGCAAGAGUCCUGGAGUGGGGUGCCAUUGCCUUCUCUGAGGAAUGAAAUAGCACUAGCUUAAACUGGUUUUGCCUCUUUAAAUGGGUUGUUGAUUAAUCAAAUUGAAAUAGCACCAGCUUAAACUGGUUUUGCCACCACUCAUAGGUUGUUGAUUAAUCAAACCUUGAGUCAUUUUACACAGACAGCAUUCUGUAUGUGUGAGAUGGAAAUUCAUGUUUCCAGGAUGACAGCGGAACCAAGAAUCUUUAGUCUACAGAACUUAAAGACUAGAAAUGUUGUCACUGGAGUCUUUUGCAAAACGAGAAGUCCUUUAAUCGGGGAAAAUCUGGCUUCCAGGAGCCCAAGUAGCUCAGAUGCUCUAAUUGAAGACUAGCCAAUUAGCUUCCGAUUUUGAAAUUCCCCUAACCAUUAAAUAUCUCCUGGAAGCCUGGAUCAGGGAGACAGAUCUGUGAGCCUUGCUCCUAUUCUUUAUGCUGGUUGGCCUUGCUGCAAACCUCUUUGUUUUCUCAAAAGCCAGUCCCAUAGUCUCGGCUUCUCUGUGUGUGAUCCGGCAGUGAGCCUUUGCUUGGUAACCGGAGCAUGGCAAUGGGCAAAUUAAGAGUAACGUUUUAAAUAGCUGAUGUCACUGAUUGAUCUGAGAUCUCAUUUUACUUUCUAUGAGAAAAAAUGCUGAAGCUAGCCCCAAAUUUCCCAUUGUCAGGAGAGUGUGGCUGAAGCUCUUGUGACCAACCCUCUUUGAAGGUGUUGCAUAAGAAAAUCAUGGCAAUGAUCAUUUCCUCCACGGUGUCCCGCACAGAUUGUGUUCCCAGCCUCAUUAUGGAUUGCCAGGCAUGGCAGGAGUCUCUGUCGUCUGAGGAAGCCAAACACACAAAUUGUUCCUGGGCAGAGCAGAGUGUCAAGACUCCAUCCACCACACUCACAGCUGGAUGGAACUCACCUUUGGCCCCAGCUAUGGAACAGAGAUCAGAAGAGGACUGGCCUUGGAGCUGCUCCUCUCCGUGGAAAUGUUUACAGCCGGUGAAACUGGGGGUGCUGAGGGCAUAGCAGUGGAGAGUGGCGACCCUACCCCUCUCCAUCAGCUGAUUCCGCUCCUGCCUUGGCUCCUAGUGGCAUCAGAGGUCACCAGGGAAAUGGAUAGAUCUGAUGUGCUUUGGUGGAAAGGGAGCUGGACUCUCAGUGAUGAAGUUUAGUGCUUUGAGUUUUAUGUGUGAACCCUGCCACUCCUUUGCUAUGUGAGAGACUGAAGAAUUGGUGAGAAAAAAAAAUAAGAAAGAAAUAAGGGUACAUUCUCAGCAGCACUGAGUCCUGGGAAAAGAAUGAACGCAUAGAUUCUGGCGCUCAGGCCUGCAUCACUCCCUGUGGCUUCUCACGGCCGGUAGCCCACGGAUGGUCAGUUCUCUACCUUUGUUUUCCCUUUGGGAGAAGAUGUACAUGGUAUUCACAGUGAACUUCUCAGACUCUCAAAGACAACCAACAACACCUGCAGAAAAAUGUGCAUCCUUCCUCAAGAAACCAUCUCUCCCUGCAGUGAAACAC